UUGAUGUUCCUGAUUCUGGUAUACAAGAUUUUUCUUAGCUAUGUAAAAAAAUAAUUACUUCUGGCACUCACUCUGAUGACUCAUCCAUGGGAAAUAGCUUUUUUUGAUUGUGACAUUACAUGUUGGCAGAUAUGAUAUGUUAAAAUCUAGUCCAUAAACCUCACUCACCCUCAUUUAUACUCUAGUUAUGAUUAUCAGACUGUAGAGGAACACAUUUCUCUGAAGAAACCACUAG
Molecule: non-coding RNA, 235 nt
Organism: Pelobates cultripes (western spadefoot toad)
Lineage: Eukaryota; Metazoa; Chordata; Amphibia; Anura; Pelobatidae
Source: the annotation of a GenBank genome assembly